Molecule: ribosomal RNA, 457 nt
Filed under: uncultured bacterium
Lineage: Bacteria
Description: partial 16S ribosomal RNA
Rfam family: Bacterial small subunit ribosomal RNA
Source: RNAcentral
GAUGAACGCUGGCGGCGUGCCUAAUACAUGCAAGUCGUACGGAAAGGCCCUUCGGGGUACUCGAGUGGCGGACGGCUGAGUAACGCGUGGGAACGUGCCCCAAAGUGAGGGAUAACGCACCGAAAGGUGUGCUAAUACCGCAUAUGGUCGUCGGACUAAAGCUUCGGCGCUUUGGGAGCGGCCCGCGUACGAUUAGAUAGUUGGUGAGGUAAUGGCUCACCAAGUCGACGAUCGUUAGCUGGUCUGAGAGGAUGAUCAGCCAGACUGGGACUGAGACACGGCCCAGACUCCUACGGGAGGCAGCAGUAAGGAAUCUGCCACAAUGGGGGCAACCCUGAUGGAGCAACGCCGCGUGCAGGAUGAAGGUUUUCGGAUCGUAAACUGCUUUUAUAAGUGAAGAAUAUGACGGUAACUUAUGAAUAAGGAUCGGCUAACUUCGUGCCAGCCGCCGCCGUAA